AUGCUUGUACUGCUCACAGAAUACCGACGCCAAGUCUUUCCAAGAUCGGAUCCUUUCCUUACUGAGCUGGUUGUACCACCGAAAAGCCGAUCCUACUAGACUGUCUUGAAAAUAAUGUACAAGUAGCUUAUCUUCGUUCACGUAACCGGUCAUUUUUCGGUAAAACAUGACAAGAUGUGCUUUUGGACAUCUUGUCCCAUCGUACUUUUCGAAAUCAGGC
This 220-nucleotide long non-coding RNA is filed under the name Gossypium barbadense (sea-island cotton). RNAcentral describes it as "long non-coding RNA (GBAR_LNC010099)". The record is from RNAcentral. Lineage: Eukaryota; Viridiplantae; Streptophyta; Magnoliopsida; Malvales; Malvaceae.